UCGGAGCUGCUGAUAAUUCAGUGUCCCUCUUCCACCGACCACAAGAGCGAGUCAGUGGCUUAUCAAGCUGUGGAUCAAACGUGGGCGGUUGGCAACUUUAUAGAACACCACAAAAAACCCUUGCUGUGGUGAGGUGCAUUGCUUCAGACCUCGAAAGGAAGAGGAUCUGCAGUGGUGGCCGUAACGGCGUUCUUAGGCUGUGGGAUGCUACCAUCAACAUCUAAAGUCUGUCGAUCCUGAUGUGAAAGUCGUGUUCUGUUCCUCAAUCUGUGUGCAUUGUGUUGUUUUUACAUCGACAAAAAAAAAAUCUCUUGUUUUGAUUCGGGAAAGACAGAUGAUUGAAAUGCUGAAACUGAGAUGCAGCUUUGUUUUCUUUCAACUUCUUUUUCUUCGUUACUUCUUCUACGUUGUUUACUCUUGCUGUGUACACAAUAUGGACCCGUGUUUUUCACUUAUAAAUGGGCCAGCUUCAAUUUGCCG
Long non-coding RNA from Rhodamnia argentea, 480 nucleotides. RefSeq lists it as uncharacterized. Lineage: Eukaryota; Viridiplantae; Streptophyta; Magnoliopsida; Myrtales; Myrtaceae. The record is from RefSeq and is a predicted model, not a curated record. The transcript has 2 exons.